This is a long non-coding RNA of Fukomys damarensis (Damara mole-rat), 2839 nucleotides long. RefSeq lists it as uncharacterized. NCBI's taxonomy places the organism in Eukaryota, Metazoa, Chordata, Mammalia, Rodentia, Bathyergidae. The transcript is spliced from 3 exons. The record is from RefSeq and is a predicted model, not a curated record.
UUAACCCUUCCCUGCCUGCUCCCCGCUGCGCGCUGAAAGAGGAGCUGGUUUAGUCUGCUGAGCACGACGUUUUUAAUUGAAAAAAGAAAUAAUAAUUUUCCACGUUAGUGUAGGAAUCAUAGAUCAUUAAAAUAAAAUGAUAUACCAAUUGGGAACCCAGGUUUUAAAUGUCCAAGAAUAAUAGGACACGUGGGCCUUGUAAAAAGCAAGUCAUUUGGAAAAGACUCCUUCUUUGGACCCGAGAAGUGAAACCAGUUUGAAAGGAUGGGCCUCUUCUGUCUUGUUUAUGCUGGGUGACCGACCCUUUCGGUUUUUCCUGGAUUUGGAAGAUACGUUGGUUUAUUGUCAAGGUCCUGGCUUUUGUUUUGGUUUGUGAGCUGGAUGGCGUUUAUUUAUUUUUAAAAAAUAACCAAAUGCCUAAAUACAAGUGACGUGUUUAUGGUACAGGGAUUGUGUCACAAACCAAGAAAUAGAAUUAAUCCAAUCUUAUAUGGAUGUACACUCAUGAGAGCAAGAGAGAAUACAGUGUAAGUAAUAAAUACAUUUUAUUGUUUUGGGGGAAGGAGAUUGAAGGGGUCUCUCAAGAAGGGUAGACUGGAACUUGGGGAUGAGAUGUGAGAGUAUUUCAUUCUGCCUUAUACUUAAAAAGAUUUGCCUGCCAAUGUAAAAGUAGGAAGUGACAGGCAGAGGCUGGGGGAAGCCAACUGCAGGCUUAGAAGUGAGUGCUUGUGCUUGAAUUAUCUAGGUGGAUGGGAAAGGCGGUCUGGAAAAAUCAGAUGAUUCUAGAGCUUUCUGCACGAAGCUCUAGGGUGCGGGUCCAGCCUGGUUAGAGGCACAGCUCUUUCAAGCAAGUCAAGGGGGUGGAAGGGAUCAAAAGGGGCAUCUCUGACUUGCAGGCUAGGAUACUGUGCAUUAGUCCACCCUGUCUGUCUGAGUACCCAUAUUUGAGGAAUUUAUAGCUCUUUCUUUUUCCUUCAUAGCUCCACUACCAGGUGGUGGUCACCAGUGGUCACCAGAAAGUGAAGAGAUUUUUUUUUCCUGGUGGUGGGGAUUGAACCUAGGGCCUUGAGCAUGUUGAACGUGUGCUUUAUCACUGAGGCCUAGCAAAGGGAUUUUUAUGUGAGAUCAUCUUGGCAAGAAGCUCCUUUAUCAUCCUUAACCUCCAGGUCUCCAGGGCAACUGCUGCUGGGAUGUCAGUGACACCAGAUACUGUCCCUUAAAGGCUGGGCUGCAGCAAGGGCAGAUAAACAAUUUUGUAGUAAUAGUCACGUAGCAAGCUUAUUCUCAAAUGUGGGCUGGUUAGAAUGAUGUAAGUGUUUUUUUCCACUCUCUUCCACUUCUGGUUCCAGAAUUCUGGGCCUAGGACAUAGUCUAAGAAUGUACAUUGGGGCAAGAAUGGUGCAGGAACGCUGCAGGGUAGGACUCAAGGGGAUUGCCUUCUAGGCUUAGGGAAAAAGUUUUUCUUCUUGGCUUCCCUAGUCCAUACCACAGCUCAGCUCAGUUCCCGCCCCUCUUCUCCCUCCCCCUUCCUCUCCUCUCUUCCUUGCAGCUCUGUAAAGUGGUCUUAUUAUGUAAGUUGUGGUAGACACUGGCCCUUGCCUCCUCAAUUGUAGGUGCUAGCUCUCACAAUAACAACAAAAUGUAUUUAUUACUUAUAUUUUCUUCCUCACUGUCAUGCAUGUAUAUCCACAGAAAAUUGGAUUAAUUCUAAUUAAUGCUACCCAUAGUUAAUCUUUUGACCACAAGAAUACAGUGAGGAUGACAUCCAGAGACUUCUAAGCCUUGGUUCUACCUGGGUCUCUUAGAGCCUUCAAUCCUGGAACAUUCCCUCGAGAACCAGCCACUGCCCUAGGAGAAGACCAAGCACAGAGAGGGGCCAGAAGUAGGUACUGCAGUCAAGACCCUACUGAGCUCCCAGCCAGCUUCCGGACCACUGCCAGCCUGUCUUGGUUGGCGAGGUUAUAGAAUCUUCAAUGACUCCAGCCCUAGCCAUCAUUUCAGUGCAAUAACAAGAGAUCCUGAGAGAGAACUGGCUAGCUGGAUCCUGUUGGAGGUGGAUUCCUGUUGGGGAGAGACUGUCUUCCAUUUCUCCACUCUUCAGCAGAUUUGUCAAGCUGUUCUAGUGGACUGCCUUGGGGACUAACAGCCAGAGGAGCAUCCAAGGCCUAUCCUGGCCCUUGGAGUCCCCAGCAGCAUCACCUGUGUGCAGAGCUGUGAUCUGCAGGCCCUGCUUCCUCCCUUGACUUCCCCUGAGGCAUAGCUGCUUCUCGACCUUGAAGAGCUCUGGGCAGAAGUGGUGACACCCAAGAUGUCCUGCUCGCAUGUGUUUCUCAGAGAGGGCUGCUGCCUCAAGUAUAAGUCUGCCUCGCCUUUGCUCAGUAUCCCCAGUGUCAGCAGUCUGCACCAAGGACCCUGGCACUUUCCCCCAAGCCAUCAGCAUGAGGUGGAAUCACAUCCACAUCUGACAGCACCGGGCCAUUCCAACAACCAUUCCGACAGCCCUGAGAGCUACUCAUUAAGGGUCAGAAUGUGUGCUCUGCUGGGAUGCCUGGGGCUCUCCAGGGAGGGUCACUUUCUCGAGAAAAUGUCCACUUUACCCCAUCUUUCAGGGGCCCACUUCCUGACCAACAGGCUCAAGGUAAGUGACCCUCUGGCACUGAGUCUGGGCGGGCCUCCAAACCUCUGCUGUUUCCAACACAGAAGGGUCAUACGGAUUGUAAAUCUUGACUUUCCUUAAAGUAGUUUAACAGAAAGAAGACAUUGGAUCCUUCCUUAGGACAUCUUGGUAGUUGGAUUUUCACUGUCAUCCAAACUCAGGACACAGAAAAAUAAAGCAUUA